Molecule: long non-coding RNA, 1622 nt
Organism: Ficedula albicollis (Collared flycatcher)
Lineage: Eukaryota; Metazoa; Chordata; Aves; Passeriformes; Muscicapidae
Exons: 2
Source: RefSeq, a predicted model, not a curated record
CCCCCGCAGCGCUCUGUCGCCGCUCCCCGGCCGCAGUCUCGCCCCGCCGCAGCGCCCCGUGCCCGGCGCGGUGCGCAGGGCCGGCACCGCAGCCCCGGAGCGCUCUGUCCUGCCGGGGCUCCACCAGGACCUUCCUCUCCACCGUCUCGACCUGCUGCAUUUUCCCCAUGUCCAUUGCCUGCUUCCUGAAGUAGGGGAGACCUGUCAGACCGCUGGGCUCAUCUACAUCUCCGGUCCCCAGCGAGCUGGUUCCACCAUCUGAUCCACUUCAUUUCAUUUCAUUUCUCUCCUCCGAAGCAAACAGGACUCGCAGGAAUCCAAGCCAACAAUGAGAGUAUCUCCAAGUGCGCUCGGUUCGCUGCAGCUGCCAAGGGCGGGAGCCCCGGGGAGGGCAGCGCGCCCCCGUCCCACCCCGAGCUGGACCCUGCCUCUGCUGGGGAAGGUGGUUUUUGACGGCCGCCUCUGAUCUCGGAGGGCUCUGGGUCAGUCUCCACACUUACACCCUGAAGCGCCCACCCAGGCUUUUCUGACAAAAUACCUAAUUAGGGUUGAAAGGCCGUUCCGGUUCUUUGCCAAGGCGUACGGCCUGCAGAGAACCUGUCCCUGUCACGCUGCAGGCUCCUCCCUGCUGCCACAGGUGGGUGUUUCUCGUGGAAAGCUGCAGAACCCUCGGUCCUGUCGGCAGCGCUGCCCUCGGCACGACACAAGACACACAACACAAAGAGAGAGACAGACCUAGAACAGCAGUCAGGACACUUAGUGUAUUUAACAUGGUUCAGAAGUGCAGAGCCCAUUUUUGGGGAGACACGUCACCAGGCACCAGCAUAUGGAAGCUGUGCCCAUGGAGGACAGCCCCUGGGAUCCUCCUUUCCUUCUGGGAUUGCUACACAUCCAGGGUCUGGGCAGGGUGUGCAGCAAUCCCACAAGCAGCUCCUGUGUACUCCACAGGCAACCCUCGAGCCUGUGUCCCCACUGGGAGUCAGGACUGCUGCUCACCAAGGGAUGGAGAGCAUUGGCUAAAGCUGGCAUCACACUUCCCAAGUUACCUGUCCUCUGGCAGCAGAAGGGAUCCCAAAGCUGCUCCUCUUCAGGCCUUUCCCAAGUCUCCCCAGCAUUUUCAGAGCAGGUUUCAGCCUGGAAAUACCCCAGGGCUCCUGGGACACCCAACACAGAUGUCAUGGAAACUGAAGGGGAGACCCCUGGACAGCGAGCGGGGGCUGUACAGAGGUGGUGGCUCCUGUGUGGGAGCAGAUGCUAAAAUUUGGCAUUUGAGGUCUCAGCACCAUCAGAAAAUCCUCUUGACUUCACCAACCCAGACUUUGGUUUUGCAAGGACCAAGUGGCAGCCUGUGCCCAUCCUCUGUGAUGGGAUUGUCUCCAUUGGGGAAUCCACCUCAAGAGCUGGGGUACUCUUUCUUCUUGUCUUGUUUUGCAUUUUUAGAUGAAGCUUUUAGUGUGUUCCCUCAUGUCCUGGUGAAGCCAAAUUUCCCAGAUGCAUGUGUAGAUGCACAUACCACUAUUAACAUGCUGGAAAAUCCUCUCUCCUGCUGUGAUGUUCACUCGCUUGGUUCCACCCCAAAAUCCUGGGAUGUCCAUUGCCUGGCCCGCUUAUCUUGCUGCACU